CGCCAGUCGGCUAUAAUUGGUGGUCGCUAAAUCAGAUACAAGCGGUAUUAUUAGCUGACCACUCGGCCACUGGCCUUCCUCACAAUGCAAUUCCGGUAAAAAGUUAUCGGUAUCACUGCAAGCGCACUUGGACUUGACCUCGCAUAGAUUUUUUGGAAUCGGUCAAGAACCUCUUUCUUGCCAACCUAAACUUAUUGAAGUCUGGCCGAAUUAUGAAAAAAAACUGCGAUUUUGUCAUUUUGAUGGCUUCAUUCAUUUUGGUUUUGUGUUUGUCAGGGUAAUGGCGAAUUUUUACUAAAGCCAUGUCUUUGCCAUACGGCCCACCUCAAGCCGUCUCACCCUUAAUCCGAGGGGUGAGGUUCGCUUUGCUUCUGGCUGGCAUAAUAUAUGCCCAGGGGAAGCAAAGACUGUACAACUCCAUGGAAGCUUCUUACCGGGAAGAAGAAGCCCGAAAGAAGGUCAUUCGCGACAAGCAGAUGGCUAUCUUGAAAGCGAAAAUCGCUGCCGAGGAGAAAGAGGCAGUGCGGUUGUUGGAGACUGGAAAAUUGUUCGAUACAGGACCCGGUGGAGGUGGUGGUGGUGGAAGUGGUGGUUCUGGCUGCUAGAAAUUGAUGCUUACUCCAAUGAUAUUACUAUUACAAUAUUUAAUUUAAUUAGGAAAAAUUUGAAAUGUAAAAUUUUCAGCAAAUUAAACCAAACGUAAAAAACAA
Ostrinia nubilalis (European corn borer) is the source of this 710-nucleotide long non-coding RNA. RefSeq lists it as uncharacterized. The record is from RefSeq and is a predicted model, not a curated record. Lineage: Eukaryota; Metazoa; Arthropoda; Insecta; Lepidoptera; Crambidae. The transcript has 2 exons.